Molecule: transfer RNA, 71 nt
Filed under: Marmota monax (woodchuck)
Lineage: Eukaryota; Metazoa; Chordata; Mammalia; Rodentia; Sciuridae
Rfam family: tRNA
About the family: Transfer RNA (tRNA) molecules are approximately 80 nucleotides in length. Their secondary structure includes four short double-helical elements and three loops (D, anti-codon, and T loops).
Source: Rfam by way of RNAcentral
GGAGUUGUGGCUCAGUGGUAUAGAGCACCUGCCUGGCAUGCAUGAGGCACUGGGUUUGAUCCUCAGCACCA